RNAcentral lists this unclassified non-coding RNA (1888 nucleotides) under Hevea brasiliensis (rubber tree). The record is from RNAcentral. Lineage: Eukaryota; Viridiplantae; Streptophyta; Magnoliopsida; Malpighiales; Euphorbiaceae.
GUACACAGCUGAAUUUAUGUUCACCUCAGGUUGCUUUGGAGGUGGUUUUUGAACAGUUGAGAAACGAGUGCUGAUAAAUGAAGAGAUUAUUCCAGAUUUCUGGCCCAUGGCAGGGGAACCAUCCCAGUCAAUCUUUCUUAGAGUUGCUGCACCAAUAACUUUCGAAAAAUGUAGCCGUAAAAAUAAAACUUUUUUAAACCCAGAAUCCCCAACUUCAAAAUGAGCUCCUGUGACAAUUGCAAGAUCCUCUUCACUCUCAACAGGGGCUGUACAAAUAUGCGAGAAACUCUUCCACUGAACCUUCUCAUAGUACCUGCGUUCAGAGGAGGGAUCAGAGAUGUUGCCUAUCUGUUCGUGCUCCAGUUGAAAGGUCUUAGGAAGCGAUGAAAGAUGCUGCAAGUGAAUUGCUAAGCAGCUGCUUUUUUUCCCUUCCAAAAACAGUCGAAGGCCAGUAACUGGCUUCAUCCCUACGUCAACCGGUGUCGUAUUAACAUAAAGUUUAGGACCCAUGAAGCUGAACUGCAAAGAUGGGCUAGAUUGUUGCUUCCUAUCCGGACCCAGGGCAAGCUCACCAAACACUGGUGCCCAUUGCCUUGGAAGCUGAAAUUCCAGAAACUGAUGUAAUUCUUCUAUUGGUGGCUUGUAGCGGAUGUAGAGGUUGAUAGCAUGGGUCAAAAAUCCACUCCCAUUAAUUCCACUCAAUAGAGAAGUGAUUGGGAUGAAUGACAUUGAGAUAACAUCAGGUUCAAACUGAACAGUUUGACACCACUCACUGUGGUGCCGGCUUUUAUUUGACCCGCCUUUCCUCCUAUGUAUGAAUUUAAUUCCCGCUGUAUGGGAAUAAGAGCUGGACGGAAACUGGUCUGUGAAAGUGAAUCCAUGAUCCUUGACAAACUUUUCUGAGAUAUUCUGUCCAGUUCCAUCUACAAACAGCUUGUCUGCCAUGUCUUUUAAUUUUUUCUGUACAUCAACAGGCUCAAGAGGCGAUAAGUGCUGCUGAUCAGUAUAUGUCUGCUUCACAUAUACUAUAUCCCUUCCCCCCAUUUUGACACCAAUGACCACAUGAGUACCAUAUUUUUCUAUAAAACUUGCCAAUGCAGCAGGCUCCCAUGUUGAAGGGACAGCUUCUUUGACAUGAUCACACAGAACUACCUGGGAUUUUUCUAUUGCAAUGUUGUAAAGUGUGAUAAAAACACCAUCAAAUGCAAGAGCUUUAGUAUUGGCAGCAUCCGUCUGCCAAACUCCUGUAAAUUCAAAUGCAGCAUUGAAAUGGCCAGAAGGAAUUUUUCCAGAAAGAGAUAGUUCCUGGUUAAACUGCUCUGACAUCUGCUGGAAAGAAAGAACAUCAGAGCUGAACCUCAUGAACUCGCCUUUAUCGCAUUUGAUGGAUUUGGGGAUGUUCCGAAUGGAAAACCCGCCUGGAAUCACGAGAUCCCUGACUUUAUCAUCGUCCAACAAGAUCAAUCGAGAGGAAUUCUUCUUGCAGUACUUAAGGCUUAAAUCAGCAACUAUAUCAAAUCCCAAACCAAUAGCCUCAAUAGCAUCCUCGGCAGCUUUCUUUAAGGCCAUGUCUUCUCUUCCACUUGAUUUUCCUUCUUACAAUGGGUGGUUCAUCAGAAACCUCUUCUUGGUCUGGUGGCGGUCGCAGUGGUGGCUAUGUGCUGUGGCAAAGGGUGAAGAUGUUGUCAACUCCAUCAAGAAUCGAAUGAAUGAAUGAAUAUAGAGGAGGGAGUAGGGGACAGGUCAAACGUUGAAUUUACAAAAAUUCUUUUUUCUUUUUUCUUUAAUUAUGUGUUUUUUGCGUGUUAUAAAAAGCUUCUAGUAAAAAGAGGCCGCUGAGCUGAAGAGCAAGUCAAAGCUUUUGUGCUGCUGCUGCUGUUGCUGUUGC